RNAcentral lists this ribosomal RNA (253 nucleotides) under uncultured bacterium. RNAcentral describes it as "partial 16S ribosomal RNA". It matches the Rfam family "Bacterial small subunit ribosomal RNA", at positions 524 to 776 of the family's 1533-position model. The record is from RNAcentral.
UACGUGAGGGGCGAACGUUGUUCGGUGUCACUGGGCUUAAAGGGUGCGUAAGUGGUUUCGUAAGUAAGGUGUGAAAGCCCUCGGCUUACCCGGGGAAUUGCGCCUUAUACUGCGAGACUUGAGGAUUUCAGGGGAAUGGGGAACUCCAGGUGUAGCGGUGAAAUGCGCAGAUAUCUGGGGGAAGGCCGGCGGCGAAGGCGCCAUUCUGGGAAAUUCCUGACACUGAGGCACGAAAGCGUGGGGAGCAAACAGG